RNAcentral lists this ribosomal RNA (228 nucleotides) under uncultured bacterium. RNAcentral describes it as "partial 16S ribosomal RNA". It matches the Rfam family "Bacterial small subunit ribosomal RNA", at positions 1273 to 1500 of the family's 1533-position model. The record is from RNAcentral.
CUCAAAAAAACAAUCUCAGUUCAGACUGCAGGCUGCAACUCGCCUGCACGAAGUCGGAAUUGCUAGUAAUCGUAGGUCAGCAUACUACGGUGAAUACGUUCCCGGGCCUUGUACACACCGCCCGUCAAACCAUGAGAGUUGGCAACACCCGAAGUCGGUAGUCUAACCGCAAGGAGGACGCCGCCGAAGGUGGGGUUGAUGAUUAGGGUUAAGUCGUAACAAGGUACC